RNAcentral lists this ribosomal RNA (509 nucleotides) under Fusarium equiseti. Its description in RNAcentral is "eukaryotic LSU rRNA". The stretch from base 154 to 307 matches the Rfam family "5.8S ribosomal RNA". The record is from RNAcentral. Lineage: Eukaryota; Fungi; Ascomycota; Sordariomycetes; Hypocreales; Nectriaceae.
CAUUACCGAGUUUACAACUCCCAAACCCCUGUGAACAUACCUAUACGUUGCCUCGGCGGAUCAGCCCGCGCCCCGUAAAACGGGACGGCCCGCCCGAGGACCCUAAACUCUGUUUUUAGUGGAACUUCUGAGUAAAACAAACAAAUAAAUCAAAACUUUCAACAACGGAUCUCUUGGUUCUGGCAUCGAUGAAGAACGCAGCAAAAUGCGAUAAGUAAUGUGAAUUGCAGAAUUCAGUGAAUCAUCGAAUCUUUGAACGCACAUUGCGCCCGCCAGUAUUCUGGCGGGCAUGCCUGUUCGAGCGUCAUUUCAACCCUCAAGCUCAGCUUGGUGUUGGGACUCGCGGUAACCCGCGUUCCCCAAAUCGAUUGGCGGUCACGUCGAGCUUCCAUAGCGUAGUAAUCAUACACCUCGUUACUGGUAAUCGUCGCGGCCACGCCGUAAAACCCCAACUUCUGAAUGUUGACCUCGGAUCAGGUAGGAAUACCCGCUGAACUUAAGCAUAUCAA